AAAUGACCUUCCUUUUCCUGCCCCCGGUCUGUCAGAGGCACAGAUCUACAGCCAGUACAGAGCUUUGCUGGAAGAGAGUGGACCCUCUGCCAGAGACAACUCUGCGCAGCCAAAGAGCAGCCAUAUUACUUCCUCUCCUUUCAGAGGGUCAGGAGGCUCCUCAUGGAAAUCCAUGGGUCCAGCCCGCCUUUAAAUCACCAGAUGAGAGACUAAACAGCACCAGGGAUGGUCCCCGUGGCCAUGCCGUUUCAAAUUCCACCACAUGAUGUCUGGCAGGUAAACUAUACUGCAGUUCUGAGCCUUCCCUGCAAACUCUAUACUAUACCAGCACAAAGAAA
Mauremys mutica (yellowpond turtle) is the source of this 338-nucleotide long non-coding RNA. RefSeq lists it as uncharacterized. The transcript is spliced from 4 exons. The record is from RefSeq and is a predicted model, not a curated record. NCBI's taxonomy places the organism in Eukaryota, Metazoa, Chordata, Testudines, Geoemydidae.